The sequence is a transfer RNA, 72 nucleotides long. It matches the Rfam family "tRNA". From Rfam's summary of the family: Transfer RNA (tRNA) molecules are approximately 80 nucleotides in length. Their secondary structure includes four short double-helical elements and three loops (D, anti-codon, and T loops).
GCCCUGGUAGCUCAACGGUAGAGCACCCGCCUCGUAAGCGGGGGGUUGAGGGUUCGAAUCCCUCCCAGGGCU